This 30-nucleotide non-coding RNA is filed under the name Mus musculus (house mouse). The record is from RNAcentral. Lineage: Eukaryota; Metazoa; Chordata; Mammalia; Rodentia; Muridae.
UGAACACUUGCCAUCAUCCAAAUUCCUUCU